RNAcentral lists this ribosomal RNA (467 nucleotides) under uncultured bacterium. RNAcentral's name for it is "partial 16S ribosomal RNA". It matches the Rfam family "Bacterial small subunit ribosomal RNA", at positions 29 to 507 of the family's 1533-position model. The record is from RNAcentral.
ACGAACGCUGGCGGCGUGCUUAACACAUGCAAGUCGAACGGAAAGGCCCUGCUUUUGUGGGGUGCUCGAGUGGCGAACGGGUGAGUAACACGUGAGUAACCUGCCCUUUACUUUGGGAUAAUUUCAGGAAACUGGGGCUAAUACCGGAUAGGAGUUCCUGCUGCAUGGUGGGGGUUGGAAAGUUUCGGCGGUUGGGGAUGGACUCGCGGCUUAUCAGCUUGUUGGUGGGGUAGUGGCUUACCAAGGCUUUGACGGGUAGCCGGCCUGAGAGGGUGACCGGCCACAUUGGGACUGAGAUACGGCCCAGACUCCAACGGGAGGCAGCAGUGGGGAAUAUUGCACAAUGGGCGGAAGCCUGAUGCAGCAACGCCGCGUGCGGGAAGACGGCCUUCGGGUUGUAAACCGCUUUCGCCUGUGACGAAGCGUGAGUGACGGUAAUGGGUAAAGAAGCACCGGCUAACUACGUG